UGCAGUCGAACGAUGAAGCCCAGCUUGCUGGGUGGAUUAGUGGCGAACGGGUGAGUAACACGUGAGUAACCUGCCCUUGACUCUGGGAUAAGCGUUGGAAACGACGUCUAAUACCGGAUACGAGCUUCCACCGCAUGGUGAGUUGCUGGAAAGAAUUUUGGUCAAGGAUGGACUCGCGGCCUAUCAGCUUGUUGGUGAGGUAAUGGCUCACCAAGGCGACGACGGGUAGCCGGCCUGAGAGGGUGACCGGCCACACUGGGACUGAGACACGGCCCAGACUCCUACGGGAGGCAGCAGUGGGGAAUAUUGCACAAUGGGCGAAAGCCUGAUGCAGCAACGCCGCGUGAGGGACGACGGCCUUCGGGUUGUAAACCUCUUUUAGCAGGGAAGAAGCGAAAGUGACGGUACCUGCAGAAAAAGCACCGGCUAACUACGUGCCAGCAGCCGCGGUAAUACGUAGGGUGCAAGCGUUGUCCGGAAUUAUUGGGCGUAAAGAGCUCGUAGGCGGUUUGUCGCGUCUGCUGUGAAAUCCCGAGGCUCAACCUCGG
This 548-nucleotide ribosomal RNA is filed under the name Plantibacter flavus. Its description in RNAcentral is "bacterial SSU rRNA". It matches the Rfam family "Bacterial small subunit ribosomal RNA", at positions 56 to 618 of the family's 1533-position model. The record is from RNAcentral. Lineage: Bacteria; Bacillati; Actinomycetota; Actinomycetes; Micrococcales; Microbacteriaceae.